UCCUUGGUGGCUUAGUGGUUAAAAGAUUCAGCAUUGUCAUUGCUGUGGCUCGGGUUUGAUUGCUGGCCUAGGAA
RNAcentral lists this transfer RNA (74 nucleotides) under Sus scrofa (pig). It matches the Rfam family "tRNA". From Rfam's summary of the family: Transfer RNA (tRNA) molecules are approximately 80 nucleotides in length. Their secondary structure includes four short double-helical elements and three loops (D, anti-codon, and T loops). The record is from Rfam by way of RNAcentral. Lineage: Eukaryota; Metazoa; Chordata; Mammalia; Artiodactyla; Suidae.